AACGAACGCUGGCGGCAGGCCUAACACAUGCAAGUCGAGCGCGCCCUUCGGGGUGAUCGGCGGACGGGGGAGUAACGGGUGGGAACGUUCCCUUGUCUACGGAAUAGCCUCGGGACACUGAUAGUAAUACCGUAUACGCCCUAUUGGGGAAAGAUUUAUCGGAAAAGGAUCUGCCCGAGUUGGAUUAGGUUGUUGGUUGGGUAAUGGCCUCCCAAGCCGACGAUCCCUAGCUUGUUUGAGAGGAUGAUCAGCGACACCGAGACGGAGAAACGGCCCGGAAUCCUACGGGAGGCAGCAGUGGGGAAUCGUAGACAAUGGCGGCAACGAUGAUCGAGCCAGGACGCGUGAGUGAUGAAGGCAGUAGGGUUGUAAAGUGCUAUCAGCUAGGAAGAUAAUGACGGUACCAGCAGAAGAAGCCACGGCUAACUACGUG
This 433-nucleotide ribosomal RNA is filed under the name uncultured bacterium. Its description in RNAcentral is "partial 16S ribosomal RNA". It matches the Rfam family "Bacterial small subunit ribosomal RNA", at positions 29 to 507 of the family's 1533-position model. The record is from RNAcentral.